This 460-nucleotide ribosomal RNA is filed under the name uncultured bacterium. RNAcentral describes it as "partial 16S ribosomal RNA". It matches the Rfam family "Bacterial small subunit ribosomal RNA", at positions 338 to 795 of the family's 1533-position model. The record is from RNAcentral.
CCUACGGGUGGCAGCAGUGAGGAAUAUUGGUCAAUGGACGAGAGUCUGAACCAGCCAAGUAGCGUGAAGGAUGACUGCCCUAUGGGUUGUAAACUUCUUUUAUAUGGGAAUAAAAUGUUCCACGUGUGGGAUUUUGUAUGUACCAUAUGAAUAAGGAUCGGCUAACUCCGUGCCAGCAGCCGCGGUAAUACGGAGGAUCCGAGCGUUCUCCGGAUUUAUUGGGUUUAAAGGGAGCGUAGGUGGAUUGUUAAGUCAGUUGUGAAAGUUUGCGGCUCAACCGUAAAAUUGCAGCUGAAACUGGCAGUCUUGAGUACAGAAGAGGUGGGCGGAAUUCGUGGUGUAGCGGUGAAAUGCUUAGAUAUCACGAAGAACUCCGAUUGCGAAGGCAGUUCACUGGACUGCAACUGACACUGAGGCUCGAAAGUGUGGGUAUCAAACAGGAUUAGAUACCCGUGUAGUC